GACGAACGCUGGCGGCGUGCUUAACACAUGCAAGUCGAACGAAGAGCGACGGAAGCUUGCUUCUAUCAAUCUUAGUGGCGAACGGGUGAGUAACGCGUAAUCAACCUGCCCUUCAGAGGGGGACAACAGUUGGAAACGACUGCUAAUACCGCAUACGAUCUAAUCUCGGCAUCGAGGAUGGAUGAAAGGUGGCCUCUACAUGUAAGCUAUCACUGAAGGAGGGGAUUGCGUCUGAUUAGCUAGUUGGAGGGGUAACGGCCCGCCAAGGCGAUGAUCAGUAGCCGGUCUGAGAGGAUGAACGGCCACAUUGGGACUGAGACACGGCCCAGACUCCUACGGGAGGCAGCAGUGGGGAAUCUUCCGCAAUGGACGAAAGUCUGACGGAGCAACGCCGCGUGAGUGAUGACGGCCUUCGGGUUGUAAAGCUCUGUUAAUCGGGACGAAAGGCCUUCUUGCGAAUAGGGAGAAGGAUUGACGGUACCGGAAUAGAAAGCCACGGCUAACUACGUG
Molecule: ribosomal RNA, 510 nt
Filed under: uncultured bacterium
Lineage: Bacteria
Description: partial 16S ribosomal RNA
Rfam family: Bacterial small subunit ribosomal RNA
Source: RNAcentral